UACAGAGGUCUCAAGCGUUGUUCGGAUUCAUUGGGUUUAAAGGGUCCGUAGGCGGUUUGGUAAGUCAGUGGUGAAAGCCCAUCGCUCAACGGUGGAACGGCCAUUGAUACUGCCAGACUUGAAUUAUUAGGAAGUAACUAGAAUAUGUAGUGUAGCGGUGAAAUGCUUAGAGAUUACAUGGAAUACCAAUUGCGAAGGCAGGUUACUACUAAUGGAUUGACGCUGAUGGACGAAAGCGUGGGUAGCGAACAGG
This 253-nucleotide ribosomal RNA is filed under the name uncultured bacterium. RNAcentral describes it as "partial 16S ribosomal RNA". It matches the Rfam family "Bacterial small subunit ribosomal RNA", at positions 524 to 776 of the family's 1533-position model. The record is from RNAcentral.